UACGAAGGGGGCUAGCGUUGUUCGGAUUUACUGGGCGUAAAGCGCACGUAGGCGGAUCGAUCAGUCAGGGGUGAAAUCCCAGAGCUCGACUCUGGAACUGCCUUUGAUACUGUCGAUCUGGAGUAUGGAAGAGGUGAGUGGAAUUCCGAGUGUAGAGGUGAAAUUCGUAGAUAUUCGGAGGAACACCAGUGGCGAAGGCGGCUCACUGGUCCAUUACUGACGCUGAGGUGCGAAAGCGUGGGGAGCAAACAGG
This 253-nucleotide ribosomal RNA is filed under the name uncultured bacterium. RNAcentral's name for it is "partial 16S ribosomal RNA". It matches the Rfam family "Bacterial small subunit ribosomal RNA", at positions 524 to 776 of the family's 1533-position model. The record is from RNAcentral.